This is a long non-coding RNA of Raphanus sativus (radish), 1838 nucleotides long. RefSeq lists it as uncharacterized. The transcript is spliced from 6 exons. The record is from RefSeq and is a predicted model, not a curated record. Lineage: Eukaryota; Viridiplantae; Streptophyta; Magnoliopsida; Brassicales; Brassicaceae.
CCUAGCAUUCUAUCUUUUGUAGGGCUUCUGUUCAAGACCAUGAGCCACGUAAGGAAAUUGUGUCUAGGAAUACCUCUUGAGGGCCAGACCACAGAACGCCAUGGAACUCUUGGCUUGUGGAGCUUGAUUUCCUUAUAGAUCAUCCCCGUGAAGUAGGUUGUCAAAGAUCAGACCGAGCGUGAGGAAGGCGCCACCUUCCAUCCUGGUAGAGGUCCGCCAGAGUAGUGAAAGGUCUGAUGCCAAGACUUGUUGUGGGAGGAAGCUGCAGGUACUCUCUCAGGUUCCCGUAUGGGCUCCAAUUGUCCGACCAAAAUCUGCUUCUCGCUCCAUUCCCUGGGUCCACAGAUUACUGAGAUCGCCUGAGAGAAUGUUAUCUAUAAACCAGGCCACCCAAAUAGAUCCCGCCCGGAAGAAGAGAAGCCAUAGCAUCUUUAUCGAACAAGCUUUAUUCCACCAGACAAGAUCUCUGAUUCCAAGUCCGCCUUCCUCCUUUGCUAAGGUGGAGCACCAGAAGUUUGAGAUGCCAGCAAUGACGGUGUUGAUGAGCAGAAGUCUUCCUGCAAAAGAUAGUGAUUUUACAGUCCAGCUGUUGAUCCGGCUCUUUACCUGUUGGAUUAGUAGCUCACAAUUAGACAUUGCUGAUGAACACCACUAGCGAAGAAGCAUGUUCUGGAGAUGCUGACUGAGAGGCCGGAGAGCUCCUUGAAUUCUUCUAGCACUUGGAGGACGUUGGUAACCGAGCGAAGAGAGCCAUCACAGAAUAUCAGAAAGUCAUCCGCAAAGUAAAGGUGAAUAAGCUUAGAGGAUUGACACGCAUGAUGAUACCCAAAUUUACCUUCUGCUGCUGCCUUAUCUAACAGCAUUGACAAACAGUUCAUGGCGAUGACAAACAUGUACAGGGAGAGCGGGUCACCUUGUCUAAGGCCUCUGUUACUUUUGAAGUAUCCUGCACCGUACCAUUAAAGCCAAUUAAAAUAAAGUUGAUCAGUCUUACUAUAGGUACCACAGCGGACACAUGUGCUUUCUCUAGGACAAUGCCGUUCAUUUAGUUGUUUCGUUGUCGCUAGAUAUCUUGCCGUUAUUUGCCGUAAGAAGUGUUUGAGCUUUCUCGGAGCUUUGAUCUUCCAUAUUGAAAACAUGGAUUUCCUGCUACUAUGCGCCAAGGCCAAUGGAGUGAGUUCAGAUGUGCUAGUUGCAUUCUCGUGGAUUACUUGGUAUAUCUGGAAAGCGCGUUACGAAAAUUGUUUUAAGGAUAAGGAUAUUUCACCGAUAGAUACACUUCAACUCGCAGUCAAGGAAGCCGAAAGCUGGAUGCUAGCACUGAGAAUAGAAGUAGAACCGGACAGAGAUGUAGACGAGCAUCAAGGCAUGGAGAUCAAAGGCUUGCAGGAGCCACACUCAUGUCGCUGGAGAUGUCAAACGGACGCGUCUUGUAUCAAUGCGAACGAUAAAACCGGACUAGGUUUUGUAAUGCCCAACAGUGGAACCCCGGUCUUGUUUGGAGCGCAAGGAAUAAGAUAUGCCGCAUCCUCUCUCCAUGCUGAAGCGAAAGGCCUGCUGUGGGCUAUGCAGGAGAUUUUGAAGCUCGGGAAUAGAGAGAUCCGGUUCGAGACUGACUGCGAACAACUGGUUAAGCUAGUGAAAGAUGAUGAAAACUAGCCAGCAAUGGUGCCUGGAGUAGAUGAGAUUAAAACACUCUCUACUGAUUUUAUCAACUUCUCUAUAGCUCACAUUCCAAAAUCGAUGAAUGUUUGUGCUGACUUCCUUGCUAAAGAAGGAAGAUCACGAGUAUUUGGGUUUUCUUUUGUCAAUGGCUUUGCACUAAGUUGGCUAGCUCC